UCGGGAAUUUUGGGCAAUGGGCGAAAGCCUGACCCAGCAACGCCGCGUGAAGGAUGAAGUAUUUCGGUAUGUAAACUUCGAAAGAAUAGGAAGAAUAAAUGACGGUACUAUUUAUAAGGUCCGGCUAACUACGUGCCAGCAGCCGCGGUAAUACGUAGGGACCAAGCGUUGUUCGGAUUUACUGGGCGUAAAGGGCGCGUAGGCGGCAAUUCAAGUCAUCUGUGAAAUCUCCGGGCUUAACUCGGAACGGUCAGAUGAUACUGCUUUGCUAGAGUGCAGAAGGGGCAAUCGGAAUUCUUGGUGUAGCGGUGAAAUGCGUAGAUAUCAAGAGGAACACCUGAGGUGAAGACGGGUUGCUGGGCUGACACUGACGCUGAGGCGCGAAAGCCAGGGGAGCAAACGGGAUUAGAUACCCCUAUAGUCCCUGAGCGGGCUGGCAAGGCGCAU
This 447-nucleotide ribosomal RNA is filed under the name uncultured bacterium. RNAcentral describes it as "bacterial SSU rRNA". It matches the Rfam family "Bacterial small subunit ribosomal RNA", at positions 355 to 825 of the family's 1533-position model. The record is from RNAcentral.